UAAAACCAGCACCUCAAGUGGUCAGGAUGGUUAUUGGGCCUAAAGCAUCCGUAGCCGGCUCUGUAAGUUUUCGGUUAAAUCUGUACGCUUAACGUACAGGCCGCCGGAAAUACUGCAGAACUAGGGAGUGGGAGAGGUAGACGGUACUCGGGAGGAAGUGGUAAAUGCUUUGAUCUCUCGAUGACCACCUGUGGCGAAGGCGGUCUACCAGAACACGUCCGACGGUGAGGGAUGAAAGCUGGGGGAGCAAACCGGAUUAGAUACCCGGGUAGUCCCAGCUGUAAACUAUGCAAACUCAGUGAUGCAUUGGCUUGUGGCCAAUGCAGUGUUGCAGGGAAGCCGUUAAGUUUGCCGCCUGGGAAGUACGUACGCAAGUAUG
Molecule: ribosomal RNA, 379 nt
Filed under: uncultured Nitrososphaerota archaeon
Lineage: Archaea; Thermoproteati; Nitrososphaerota
Description: bacterial SSU rRNA
Rfam family: Archaeal small subunit ribosomal RNA
Source: RNAcentral